AAUCAACGCUGGCGGCGUGCCUCAGACAUGCAAGUCGAACGCGAAAGUUUCCUUCGGGAGAUGAGUAGAGUGGCGCACGGGUGAGUAACACGUGAGUAAUUUACCUUCGGGUGGGGAAUACCAAUCGGAAACGAUUGUUAAUACCGCAUAAUGCAGCGGCAUCAAAUGAUGACAGUUGUUAAAGCGGGGGAUUGGAGCAAUCCGACCUCGCGCCUGAAGAGAAGCNCGGGGCAGAUUAGCUAGUUGGUAAGGUAAUGGCUUACCAAGGCGACGAUCUGUAACCGGCCUGAGAGGGCGGUCGGUCACACUGACACUGAAUAACGGGUCAGACUCCUACGGGAGGCAGCAGUCGGGAAUUUUGGGCAAUGGGCGCAAGCCUGACCCAGCAACG
This 391-nucleotide ribosomal RNA is filed under the name uncultured bacterium. RNAcentral describes it as "bacterial SSU rRNA". It matches the Rfam family "Bacterial small subunit ribosomal RNA", at positions 32 to 396 of the family's 1533-position model. The record is from RNAcentral.